GAAGUUCGGAAAGGGGUUGUUGCUGGCCGUCAGCGGCAUGUGCACGCCCUGAUCAUUAUCCAUCUCACACACCUGUGCACACACUGUAGGUCGGUUUGUGGCUGGAGUGGGCACUCUGUGUCUGCUUUGGUUGUAGGCCUUCCUAUGUUUUAUCACAAACUACUUCAGUUUAAAGAAUGUCACUCUUGCGUCUAACGCAAUUAAAUACAACUUUCAGCAACGGAUCUCUUGGCUCUCGCAUCGAUGAAGAACGCACCGAAAUGCGAUAAGUAAUGUGAAUUGCAGAAUUCAGUGAAUCAUCAAAUCUUUGAACGCACCUUGCGCUCCUUGGUAUUCCGAGGAGCAUGCCUGUUUGAGUGUCAUGGAAUUCUCAACUCUUUUUGCUUUUGUGAAUAGAGCUUGGACUUGGAGGUUUAUUGCCGGUACACCUGUGAUCGGCUCCUCUUGAAUGCAUUAGCUCGAACCUGUGUGGAUCAACUAUCGGUGUGAUAAUUGUCUACGCCGUUGCUGUGAAGCAUGUUAAUGGGAUCGGCUUCUAAUCGUCCUUUUACUUGGGGACAAUGACUUUGACCUUUGACCUCCAUCAAGUAGGAUUACCCGCUGAACUU
Molecule: ribosomal RNA, 608 nt
Filed under: Fomitopsis sp. 32S
Lineage: Eukaryota; Fungi; Basidiomycota; Agaricomycetes; Polyporales; Fomitopsidaceae
Description: eukaryotic LSU rRNA
Rfam family: 5.8S ribosomal RNA (bases 209-362)
Source: RNAcentral